AACAACAAUAAAUUAUAUUGAUCACGGACAUUUUAAUGAACCGUUUAGUAUACAUGCAUUUCACAAAAAAAAAAAAUUAAAAAAAAAAUAUAAAAUUAUAUCUACAUAAUAUGUACCUACGUAGUAUCGUCGCGUGGUAUUUACAGAGAAAGCAAACGAUUUACUAUUAUUUAUUUCGAUAGUUGAUAUUAAUAUAAUUAUUUCAUAUCGCUUUUAAAACGCGAACGCUGAACCUGUAAUAUUGUACAGACACACCGAAAUCCUGUAUCGGUACUAUAUGCGAGGUUUUUAACGUGUACACGUGAAUAAUUACACGUGAACACGAAUUUCUUAAGUACACUAUUUUAUAGACUCGAAUGUUAAUUUCGCGUGAACACGUGAAAACGUGUAGGUGCAUGUGAAACAGGAAGCUCUAUAGUCAUUAAUCGUUUAUUCAACCAAAAUCAUGGUCAUAAGAGAAUCAAAUGUUUUCGUUAGUCGACUUAAGUGGGUUUCGGAAAAGAAAAAAAAAAAAACAAGUGGUAAAAAAAUCAAUAUAUUUAUAUUAAAUAUUGUAAUGCCAAAAGUAAUAUUGCUGGUUAGCACUACGUAAUAUUAUAUAUUACCACAUAAUAGUUGUAAUAUAAUAGUAAUAAUGUACAUACACUAUGUUUCAAUGCCGUUGACUAUAUAUUAUACGUCCAAUGAAAAUAUUUUAAAUGUUUUCACAAAAAUAACUGUCAAGAGCAAGUUAUCGAAAUCUGCGGUCGACAAUCGAAAGUAACAAAAAUGACUACUAUUUGUAGCGUAAGUACGGAAUAUACAAAAAUCAACUUAAAACAAGCAUAUGGCUAUGGCAUAAUGUAGUGGAAAAAAUAAAUCGUCUAAAUACUUUUCUCUCAAAAUACGAACAGUUGGAAAACGGAAAUUUGUAUUUAUACAAGCAUGAUUUAUAAUUUAUAAUUAUUUGUUUUUAAAAAUCAAUCGGUAAACUAUAUUAUUGUUAUAAUUCAAGUCAUAUGAAAUAAUAGUAAAUUGCAUCAUGCAUAGAUACAAUAAUAACAUAUUUGUAUU
Non-coding RNA from Cinara cedri, 1053 nucleotides. The record is from the annotation of a GenBank genome assembly. NCBI's taxonomy places the organism in Eukaryota, Metazoa, Arthropoda, Insecta, Hemiptera, Aphididae.